UUGAUAGGAAGUGUUCAGUGUGGGUCUUCAAAUUGUUCUCUCACACAUAUAUUACAAAAAGGCCUUUCCUAAUGUACUCCUUCUGGGUCAUACUCACAUUGUUUUGAUAGGGAGUCUUCAAUGUGGCUCUUCAAAUUGUUCUCUCACACAUAUAUUACAAAAAGGCCUUUCCUAAUGUACUCCUUCUGGGUCAUAAUCACAUUGUUUUGAUAGGAAGUGUUCAAUGUGGUCUUCAAAUUGUUCUCACACAUAUAUAUUACAAAAAGGCCUUUCCUAAUGUACUCCUUCUGGGUCAUAAUCACAUUGUUUUGAUAGGAAGUCUUCAAUGUGGUUCUUCAAAUUGCUCUCUCACACAUAUAUAUUACAAAAAGGCCUUUCCUAAUGUACUCCUUCUGGGUCAUAAUCACAUUGUUUUGAUUGGAAGUCUUCAAUGUGGUUCUUCAAAUUGUUUUCUCUCACACAUAUAUUACAAAGGCCUUUCCUAAUGUACUCCUUCUGGGUCAUAAUCACAUUGUUUUGAAAGGAAGUCUUGAAUGUGGCUCUUCAAAUUGUUCUCUCACACAUAUAUAUUACUUAGGCCUUUCCUAAUGUACUCCUUCUGGGUCAUAAUCACAUUGUUUUGAUAGGAAGUCUUGAAUGUGGCUCUUCAAAUUGUUCUCUCACACAUAUAUAUUACAAAGGCCUUUCCUAAUGUACUCCUUCUGGGUCAUAAUCACACACAGUUUUGAUUGGAAGUCUUGAAUGUGGUUCUUCAAAUUGUUCUCUCACACAUAUAUUACAAAGGCCUUUCCUAAUGUACUCCUUCUGGGUCAUAAUCACAUUGUUUUGAUAGGGAGUCUUGGAUGUGGUUCUUCAAAUUGUUCUCUCACACAUAUAUAUUACAAAAAGGCCUUUCCUAAUGUACUCCUUCUGGGUCAUAAUCACAUUGUUUUGAUAAGAAAUGUUCAAUGUGGUUCUUCAAAUUGUUCUCUCACACAUAUAUAUUACAAAAAGGCCUUUCCUAAUGUACUCCUUCUGGGUCAUAAUCACACAAUGUUUUGAUAGGGAGUCUUCAAUGUGGUUCUUCAAAUUGUUAUCUCACAUAUAUAUUACAAAAAGGCCUUUCCUAAUGUACUCCUUCUGGGUCAUAAUCACAUUGUUUUGAUAGGAAGUCUUCAAUGUGGUUCUUCAAAUUGUUCUUUCUCACAUAUAUUUCAAGUUGUCUCAGUAAGUAUUGAAAUCUUAAAACAUUUCACAAACUAUUGGAACUAAGAAUGUUGGGUCAGUUAAUGUACAUAUAUAUCUGUUUAUUUUACAAGGCUCUCUCAUUCUGGUCCCUGCCCUUGUAAGUACUUAAGUCUUGGCCUCGUAAAACAUUUCACAAACUAUUGGAAGUAAGAAUUUGAAGUCAGUUAAUUUCACAAACUAUUGGAAGUAAGAAUUUGAAGUCAGUUAAUUUCACAAACUAUUGGAAGUAAGAAUUUGAAGUCAGUUAAUUUCACAAACUAUUGGAAGUAAGAAUUUGAAGUCAGUUAAUUUCACAAACUAUUGGAAGUAAGAAUUUGAAGUCAGUUAAUUUCACAAACUAUUGGAAGUAAGAAUUUGAAGUCAGUUAAUUUCACAAACUAUUGGAAGUAAGAAUUUGAAGUCAGUUAAUUUCACAAACUAUUGGAAGUAAGAAUUUGAAGUCAGUUAAUUUCACAAACUAUUGGAAGUAAGAAUUUGAAGUCAGUUAAUUUCACAAACUAUUGGAAGUAAGAAUUUGAAGUCAGUUAAUUUCACAAACUAUUGGAAGUAAGAAUUUGAAGUCAGUUAAUUUCACAAACUAUUGGAAGUAAGAAUUUGAAGUCAGUUAAUUUCACAAACUAUUGGAAGUAAGAAUUUGAAGUCAGUUAAUUUCACAAACUAUUGGAAGUAAGAAUUUGAAGUCAGUUAAUUUCACAAACUAUUGGAACUAAGAAUUUGAAGUCAGUUAAUUUCACAAACUAUUGGAAGUAAGAAUUUGAAGUCAGUUAAUUUCACAAACUAUUGGAAGUAAGAAUUUGAAGUCAGUUAAUUUCACAAACUAUUGGAAGUAAGAAUUUGAAGUCAGUUAAUUUCACAAACUAUUGGAAGUAAGAAUUUGAAGUCAGUUAAUUUCACAAA
Long non-coding RNA from Eriocheir sinensis (Chinese mitten crab), 2124 nucleotides. RefSeq lists it as uncharacterized. The transcript has 3 exons. The record is from RefSeq and is a predicted model, not a curated record. NCBI's taxonomy places the organism in Eukaryota, Metazoa, Arthropoda, Malacostraca, Decapoda, Varunidae.